RNAcentral lists this ribosomal RNA (435 nucleotides) under uncultured bacterium. Its description in RNAcentral is "bacterial SSU rRNA". It matches the Rfam family "Bacterial small subunit ribosomal RNA", at positions 56 to 504 of the family's 1533-position model. The record is from RNAcentral.
UGCAAGUCGAACGGAAAGGCCCUGCUUGCAGGGUACUCGAGUGGCGAACGGGUGAGUAACACGUGGGUGAUCUGCCCCGCACUUCGGGAUAAGCCUGGGAAACUGGGUCUAAUACCGGAUAGGACCAUCGUUUAGUGUCGGUGGUGGAAAGUUUUUUCGGUGUGGGAUGAGCUCGCGGCCUAUCAGCUUGUUGGUGGGGUAAUGGCCUACCAAGGCGUCGACGGGUAGCCGGCCUGAGAGGGUGGACGGCCACAUUGGGACUGAGACACGGCCCAGACUCCUACGGGAGGCAGCAGUGGGGAAUAUUGCACAAUGGGCGCAAGCCUGAUGCAGCGACGCCGCGUGGGGGACGACGGCCUUCGGGUUGUAAACUCCUUUCAACCAUGACGAAGCUUUCGGGUGACGGUAGUGGUAGAAGANGCACCGGCUAACUAC